This 407-nucleotide ribosomal RNA is filed under the name uncultured bacterium. RNAcentral describes it as "partial 16S ribosomal RNA". It matches the Rfam family "Bacterial small subunit ribosomal RNA", at positions 30 to 526 of the family's 1533-position model. The record is from RNAcentral.
AUUGAACGCUGGCGGCAGGCCUAACACAUGCAAGUCGAGCGGCUCGGCGGACGGGUGAGUAAUACCUAGGAAUCGGCCUGUUCGUGGGGGAUAACGUUCGGUAACGGCAGCUAAUACCGCAUACUAUCAGAUUAGCCUAGGUCGGAUUAGCUAGUUGGUGGGGUAAUGGCUCACCAAGGCUACGAUCCCUAACUGGUCUGAGAGGAUGAGCAGUCACACUGGAACUGAGACACGGUCCAGACUCCUACGGGAGGCAGCAGUGGGGAAUAUUGGACAAUGGGCGAAAGCCUGAUCCAGCCAUGCCGCGUGUGUGAAGAAGGUCUUCGGAUUGUAAAGCACUUUAAGUUGGGAGGCGUUACCGACAGAAGAAGCACCGGCUAACUCUGUGCCAGCAGCCGCGGUAAUUC